RNAcentral lists this ribosomal RNA (500 nucleotides) under uncultured bacterium. Its description in RNAcentral is "partial 16S ribosomal RNA". It matches the Rfam family "Bacterial small subunit ribosomal RNA", at positions 30 to 523 of the family's 1533-position model. The record is from RNAcentral.
AUUGAACGCUGGCGGAAUGCUUUACACAUGCAAGUCGAACGGCAGCACGGACUUCGGUCUGGUGGCGAGUGGCGAACGGGUGAGUAAUACAUCGGAACGUGCCCAGUCGUGGGGGAUAACGUAGCGAAAGCUACGCUAAUACCGCAUACGAUCUAAGGAUGAAAGCGGGGGAUCGCAAGACCUCGCGCGAUUGGAGCGGCCGAUGGCAGAUUAGGUAGUUGGUGGGGUAAAGGCCUACCAAGCCGACGAUCUGUAGCUGGUCUGAGAGGACGACCAGCCACACUGGGACUGAGACACGGCCCAGACUCCUACGGGAGGCAGCAGUGGGGAAUUUUGGACAAUGGGCGCAAGCCUGAUCCAGCCAUUCCGCGUGCAGGAUGAAGGCCCUCGGGUUGUAAACUGCUUUUGUACGGAACGAAAAGGCUCUGGUUAAUACCCGGGGCUCAUGACGGUACCGUAAGAAUAAGCACCGGCUAACUACGUGCCAGCAGCCGCCGUAA